GGCCAGGUAGCUCAGUCGGUAGAGCAGAGGACUGAAAAUCCUCGUGUCGGCAGUUCGAUUCUGUCCCUGGCCACCU
RNAcentral lists this transfer RNA (76 nucleotides) under Acidiferrobacteraceae bacterium. RNAcentral's name for it is "tRNA-Phe". It matches the Rfam family "tRNA". Rfam says of the family: Transfer RNA (tRNA) molecules are approximately 80 nucleotides in length. Their secondary structure includes four short double-helical elements and three loops (D, anti-codon, and T loops). Lineage: Bacteria; Pseudomonadati; Pseudomonadota; Gammaproteobacteria; Acidiferrobacterales; Acidiferrobacteraceae. The record is from RNAcentral.